GCAGUGGUGGUUCUGUGGUAGAAUUCUGGCCUGCUAUGCAGGAGACACAGAUUCGAUUCCUGGCCAGUGCA
This 71-nucleotide transfer RNA is filed under the name Loxodonta africana (African savanna elephant). It matches the Rfam family "tRNA". From Rfam's summary of the family: Transfer RNA (tRNA) molecules are approximately 80 nucleotides in length. The record is from Rfam by way of RNAcentral. Lineage: Eukaryota; Metazoa; Chordata; Mammalia; Proboscidea; Elephantidae.